Molecule: long non-coding RNA, 1046 nt
Organism: Hippoglossus stenolepis (Pacific halibut)
Lineage: Eukaryota; Metazoa; Chordata; Actinopteri; Pleuronectiformes; Pleuronectidae
Exons: 2
Source: RefSeq, a predicted model, not a curated record
CAGAUUAUACUCACUAUUAUGUGCCAUCCAGACAUAAGCGUUCCACAGUAAGAGUGUCUCCAGAGGAGAAAGGAUUCGGAGGGCUCUUCCCCUGGUGGGGAACUGUGAACAACGCACACAGGAUAGAUGAGAUUGCUCUGGAACUGGAAAAUUUAACAGCUUUAGUGGGUGAGGGUUUUUUAUCUCUUUCUCCCAGUAUUCAGGGCCUCAGAAAUGUGGCUCUGCAGAAUAGGAUGGCUUUAGACUUGAUGCUCGCAAGUCAAGGAGGUGUUUGCCACAUAAUCGGAACAGAUUGUUGCACAUACAUACCGGAUAUUUCUGAUAAUAUGACGCAUAUAGUUUCCCAUCUAAAUGACCUAUUGUUCGAGGAGAAGAACAAAGACUCUCAAAUUCCUGAAGGAUGGAAUUGGGGGUCAUGGGUAACUCUAACGGGUUGGGAAAAUAUGUUGUUGAAAUUUUUGACACCUAUUCUGAUUUCAUUUUAUGUUUAGAGGUUGUUGAGCCUUUUAGUCUCAAAGGGGGGAUUGUAAUGGCUGUUUUUAUUCUUGUGUAAUGAUUAAUGGAUGAAACAGACAUGUAUGUUGAAAGAGGAAUGAACAGAUGUGGUUCUCGUGGGUUUAACUAACUUUAUGAGUGUUGUUUAAAGGUAGUAGAUGUUUAUGGCCUUCCUCCUUUGUUUGACACUUGACAAAUGAUCACUGCAGGGGUCACUCAAAGGGGGUUUGAUCAGAGGGGUGCAGGGAUUCCUUACGUGUAUACAGGAAGGGGGUCUUUUGUGUUGUAAACGAAGAUAAGGGACCUCUGAGACAGAUGGUACAUGAAAGGGGUCACUCCAGGGGGCUGAGACAGAGAUGGAGACACGAUGUCUAUACACCUUGAUCAUAGAUCAAAGAAGUUUAUUGAUAACCUUUUGCUUCUCUAGGGGAGGGGCUUGUAGUGUAUAAAGAUGUUCAUUCUCCUCUAAGUCUUUGCUCAUUGUAUGAUGUCCUUCCGGUGAUUUGUACUCUGAGUCCACCUGCAGGUGUAAAUUAAACUUACCAAAGAGA